Molecule: ribosomal RNA, 642 nt
Filed under: uncultured bacterium
Lineage: Bacteria
Description: bacterial SSU rRNA
Rfam family: Bacterial small subunit ribosomal RNA
Source: RNAcentral
CGCGGCCUAUCAGCUUGUUGGUGGGGUAAUGGCCUACCAAGGCGACGACGGGUAGCCGGCCUGAGAGGGCGACCGGCCACACUGGGACUGAGACACGGCCCAGACUCCUACGGGAGGCAGCAGUGGGGAAUAUUGCGCAAUGGGCGAAAGCCUGACGCAGCGACGCCGCGUGAGGGAUGAAGGCCUUCGGGUUGUAAACCUCUUUCAGCAGGGAAGAAGCGCAAGUGACGGUACCUGCAGAAGAAGCACCGGCUAACUACGUGCCAGCAGCCGCGGUAAUACGUAGGGUGCAAGCGUUGUCCGGAAUUAUUGGGCGUAAAGAGCUCGUAGGCGGUCUGUCGCGUCUGCUGUGAAAACUCGGGGCUUAACCCCGGGCCUGCAGUGGGUACGGGCAGACUAGAGUGCGGUAGGGGAGACUGGAAUUCCUGGUGUAGCGGUGAAAUGCGCAGAUAUCAGGAGGAACACCGGUGGCGAAGGCGGGUCUCUGGGCCGUAACUGACGCUGAGGAGCGAAAGCGUGGGGAGCGAACAGGAUUAGAUACCCUGGUAGUCCACGCCGUAAACGGUGGGUACUAGGUGUGGGUUUCCUUCCUUGGGAUCCGUGCCGUAGCUAACGCAUUAAGUACCCCGCCUGGGGAGUACG